This 79-nucleotide non-coding RNA is filed under the name Chloropicon mariensis. The record is from RNAcentral. Lineage: Eukaryota; Viridiplantae; Chlorophyta; Chloropicophyceae; Chloropicales; Chloropicaceae.
AAGAAAGAAAGAAAGAGAGAGAAAGAGACUUUCUGUUUCCUCCUUUUUUUUGCUUCUUUGCUUUUUUUUUUUCUUUUCC